AAAUAAUACAAGUGUCUUGCAAAAAAUGCAUCUACAAUAAUUUUUUAGUGAUUGUUCUAAUAACCCAAAUUCAAAACUACCUAAAUAUCCCACAGUAGUGAAUUAUUUAAAUAAAUAUGGUACAAAACCCAGUAGAGAACUAUUCAGCUUUAAAAAUGUGGUUGUAGGUAAUUUAUUAAUUGAUUAUAUGAAAAAGAGCUGAAAACAAUAAUAUCCUAUUUUAUGAAAAAAAUUUAAUAAAGAGAUAUAUGUUGACAUAGGAAAUCAGAUAACUAAGAUUACUUCUGAGCAGUAAGGUCAUUUUCUUCAUUUGGCACGUCUGAAUUUUCUAAUUUUUCUCCAAAGUUUUGUACCAAGGGAAAAAUGAUAAAAGUACAUUUUAAUUUUAAAAAGUCAUUAAGCCUGUAAUAUUUUGGCUGGAUAUAAAAAGUCUUGGUGAGAGGGGGCAUGGGACUGGGGAAAAGAAAGUAGUAGCUGGGGAGGACUUGUGUCCAUGUUUAUAUUCAACACCUUCCCCGAGAACAAAAGAGACUUUUUAACCUUCUGCUAAAAGGCAGAAUCAGAAUAAAAGUAUGAUGUUGUACAGCAGGAAAUUCCAGUUCUGAAGACAGAAGAGUUUCUCUGGCAGAAGUAGAGACAUCCAAUGGGAUGAGGCUGCCUGAACACAGGGUGGGAUCCCCUUCCCGCUAUGUGAACAGCACAACUGCCCAAGAAGGCACAGGGAUCAGAGGUGGCAUGAGGGACUUCUGUGUAGGAGUUAGCAAUCCCCCUUGAGGAGGCUGUAGAAUUUCCAGCGAGCUGCAAAUUUGGGUGCCAGAGUAUCUGCUGGGGUGUGGGAAGAAAAUGUUAGAUUUCUACUUAUACUCAUUUCUCAACAAAAAUAAAAGAGAAAUUGUGAUUUAUUAAUAUUUGUAUCUUGGCUCUGUGGUAGUUAUACAAAUCUUACAGACUGACACCAGUUACUUAUUCCAUCCUUGUUUCAAAUGGUCACAAGUCAUGAAUAGAAUGUGAUGUAUUCUGAAACUGAGAGGAAGUUACUCUAUGACUGACUGACAGUGGCACCCACUUUCCCUUG
Molecule: long non-coding RNA, 1075 nt
Filed under: Homo sapiens (human)
Lineage: Eukaryota; Metazoa; Chordata; Mammalia; Primates; Hominidae
Description: HSALNT0140081
Source: RNAcentral